This 497-nucleotide ribosomal RNA is filed under the name uncultured bacterium. Its description in RNAcentral is "partial 16S ribosomal RNA". It matches the Rfam family "Bacterial small subunit ribosomal RNA", at positions 28 to 507 of the family's 1533-position model. The record is from RNAcentral.
GAUGAACGCUGGCGGCGUGCCUAAUACAUGCAAGUCGGGCGAACAGACGAGGAGCUUGCUCCUCUGACGUUAGCGGCGGACGGGUGAGUAACACGUGGAUAACCUACCUAUAAGACUGGGAUAACUACGGGAAACCGGAGCUAAUACCGGAUAAUAUAUUGAACCGCAUGGUUCAAUAGUGAAAGACGGUUUUGCUGUCACUUAUAGAUGGAUCCGCGCCGCAUUAGCUAGUUGGUAAGGUAACGGCUUACCAAGGCGACGAUGCGUAGCCGACCUGAGAGGGUGAUCGGCCACACGGGAACUGAGACACGGUCCAGACUCCUACGGGAGGCAGCAGUAGGGAAUCUUCCGCAAUGGGCGAAAGCCUGACGGAGCAACGCCGCGUGAGUGAUGACGGUCUUCGGAUCGUAAAACUCUGUUAUUAGGGAAGAACAAAUGUGUAAGUAACUAUGCACGUCUUGACGGUAACUAAUCAGAAAGCCACGGCUAACUACGUG